GUAAAUUUUUCAUUUGCAGUAUAAAGUUGAUCUGAGAAAAAAUGUUUACCUUGGCUCUUCACUUGGCUUCUGUGAAAGAAACUUAAUAAAAUAAUAUGGGCAAUUCCCAUUACUAAUCCUAACCAUGUACAACAGAGGUCUGUACAGUAACAUAGCAAAAAUAAGUUCCUGUAAUUUUACUUAGUCAUUGCCUGUUUUAGACUAAGGAGCAGUGAGAGACAUUUAUAAAUAAUGAUACCUCAGAUCACUUUUGUUAAAUGUCCUCUAAUAUUUGGAUAUUUGGAUCUGGCUUGUGUUAUCUUUUUUUACAAUCUUGUCUUCUUUCUUUGCACUUUAGUGUAACAACUCUGUGAUUUCCUAUCUUCUUCUUCAGACACUCAGGUCCAUCAGAAUUUCCUGUGACUGUGACAGUAGAGAGUCCUUCCUCCUCAGAAAUCGAAGAGGUCGAUGAUUCCUCAGAAAGUGUUCAGGAAGAGCCAGAGAAAAUCCGUUUGAAACAAGAAGCACUGCAGCCCUUCAUGUCCACAAGCAUGAUCCUGGAUGAUGAAGGUGUUUUGGGCAGCAUUGAGAAUUCUUUUCAGAAGUUCCAUGCUUUCUUGGAUCUCCUUAAAGAUGCUGGGCUUGGGCAGCUGGCCACAAUGGCUGGUAUAGAUCAGUCAGAUUUUCAUUUACUAGGUCGUCCCCAGAUGAAUUCUACUGUUAGUAGUCCACCUAAAGAAGAAAAGAAGGCACUUGAAGAAGAAAAAUCAGAGUCAAAGCAGAGUGCCCCAGGACCAACGCACAAU
Orcinus orca (killer whale) is the source of this 785-nucleotide long non-coding RNA. RefSeq lists it as uncharacterized. The transcript has 3 exons. Lineage: Eukaryota; Metazoa; Chordata; Mammalia; Artiodactyla; Delphinidae. The record is from RefSeq and is a predicted model, not a curated record.